ACCGGCGGCUCGAGUGGAGGAGAAAAAAAAUGGGGGAAAAGGGGAAGAAGAGGGCUGGGGAAGAGAAGGGGGCAGAGGAGGGGCGCGGAGUGAAGGAGGAAAAGGGAUACUGGCAGGCUAGGGACCGGAAGAGGUGAGAGGUACUCCAGGGGUAGGAGUGAAAUCCUGUAAUCCUUGGGGGACCACCUGUGGCGAAGGCGUCUCACCAGGACGGCUCCGACAGCGAGGAACGAAAGCUGGGGGAGCAAACCG
Molecule: ribosomal RNA, 252 nt
Filed under: uncultured prokaryote
Description: partial 16S rRNA
Rfam family: Archaeal small subunit ribosomal RNA (bases 119-218)
Source: RNAcentral